CGGAUUGUAGGCUGAAACUCGCCUACAUGAAGCUGGAGUUGCUAGUAAUCGCGAAUCAGCAUGUCGCGGUGAAUACGUUCCCGGGCCUUGUACACACCGCCCGUCANACCAUGAGAGUUGGCAAUACCCAACGUACGUGAUCUAACCCGCAAGGGAGGAAGCGUCCUAAGGUAGGGUCAGCGAUUGGGGUGAAGUCGUAACAAGGUACC
This 209-nucleotide ribosomal RNA is filed under the name uncultured bacterium. RNAcentral's name for it is "partial 16S ribosomal RNA". It matches the Rfam family "Bacterial small subunit ribosomal RNA", at positions 1294 to 1500 of the family's 1533-position model. The record is from RNAcentral.